UGAAAGAGGAAGAACUCCGUGUAUAUUUUAAAGAUCGCUCUGCAUCUGAUCUCUUUCAAAAAUCCGUCACAAAAAUGGAAUUAUCUCAGCUUUUUGCUCAAAAUUGGGUGUUUUUGAAGAAACCUACCCAUAUUUGAGAGGUGAUAAAAGAGAAAUAACGAAGCUAUUACAGUAAGGAGUUGUCCACCAGUAGGGAGGAGAUUGUCAUCUUUGAGGUGUAAUCAUCCGGGAGGAUGCAGGAUGGUCUUCUAAGGGGGAUAUGUGUGAAUGCCUAUGGCCGCAAUGGAGUGCAGAGGUAAAUUGGGCCGCCGUUUCUCUCCUGUGGGGACCCCAGCACGCACCGCUGUGAUCCUGUCAGGCACCAAGGAGCUGAAGUCACAGUAAGCAUCGGCUCUUCAAGCUCCUGUCAGCGGGACUCUGGCCUGGCCAUUCUCAUCCCAGUGACAACCAGAGAAUAGAGUUUGUGACCCAGAAUGCUAAGCUAUAUGUGAUAUGACAAAAGACCAGGCCACUGCAUAUGGAGAGGGAAAGCAUAUUUCCAAUGGUAGUGUACCUCAGGGACAUGGCUUUGAUGUACAGUUUAUACAAAUAUCUGGAAAAAAAAAUCUUAGGCAUAGUUUCUGUAAAGAUUAUCAGAUUUAAGGAAUAGUUCACCAAAUUUUACACUUAUACACUCAUAAUUGUCAUGACUUUCUUCUGUGGAAAAAACAACAACAUUCUUUAAAAGUAAAAGAAGACACCAUUAAAGUCUGUGUAAAGUCCGAUAUUAAAUGUGUUCUCAAAUUUGAAUGAUUAAAAAACGUCACGUAAAUAAAAUAAGUUAUCAAAAUCUAGGACUAAUAGGCAGAAUUCUCUACUCUCACGCACUGGGGGCGUGUCUACUGUCAUCGCUGAAACCACACCCCUUCGCGAGAAAGCUGCCUCUCUUUUAAGGCCCUGUCCCAAAUGGCGCACUUUAUGUGGACUUUCGGUCUUGUGGCCUUAAAUUGCGCAUGCUCGCCUAGUCUACGA
Molecule: non-coding RNA, 1011 nt
Organism: Misgurnus anguillicaudatus (oriental weatherfish)
Lineage: Eukaryota; Metazoa; Chordata; Actinopteri; Cypriniformes; Cobitidae
Source: RefSeq, a predicted model, not a curated record